Molecule: ribosomal RNA, 601 nt
Filed under: uncultured Acidimicrobiales bacterium
Lineage: Bacteria; Bacillati; Actinomycetota; Acidimicrobiia; Acidimicrobiales
Description: bacterial SSU rRNA
Rfam family: Bacterial small subunit ribosomal RNA
Source: RNAcentral
UGCAGUCGAACGGAAUCCAAGGAGCUUGCUCCGAAAGAUUUAGUGGCGAACGGGUGAGUAUCACGUGAGCAACCUGCCCCGAAGAUUGGGAUAACACCGGGAAACCGGUGCUAAUACCGAAUACCGUCCACCUAUCGCAUGAUGGGUAGAGGAAAUGUUUUUCGCUUCGGGAGGGGCUCGCGGUCCAUCAGCUUGUUGGCGGGGUAACGGCCCACCAAGGCUACGACGGAUAGCUGGUCUGAGAGGACGAUCAGCCACACUGGAACUGAGACACGGUCCAGACUCCUACGGGAGGCAGCAGUGGGGAAUCUUGCGCAAUGGGCGAAAGCCUGACGCAGCAACGCCGCGUGAGGGACGAAGGCUUUCUGAGUUGUAAACCUCUUUCGACAGGAACGAUUGUGACGGUACCUGUAGAAGAAGCACCGGCCAACUAUGUGCCAGCAGCCGCGGUGAUACAUAGGGUGCAAGCGUUAUUCGGAUUUAUUGGGCGUAAAGAGCUCGUAGGCGGUUCAACAAGUCGGGUGUUAAACCCCCAGGCUCAACCUGGGGCCGCCACCCGAAACUGUUGUGACUAGAGUUUGGUAGGGGAUCACGGAAUUCC